CGGCGGACGGGUGAGUAAUACUUAGGAAUCUACCUAGUAGUGGGGGAUAGCACGGGGAAACUCGUAUUAAUACCGCAUACGACCUACGGGAGAAAGGGGGCAGUUUACUGCUCUCGCUAUUAGAUGAGCCUAAGUCGGAUUAGCUAGAUGGUGGGGUAAAGGCCUACCAUGGCGACGAUCUGUAGCUGGUCUGAGAGGAUGAUCAGCCACACCGGGACUGAGACACGGCCCGGACUCCUACGGGAGGCAGCAGUGGGGAAUAUUGGACAAUGGGGGAAACCCUGAUCCAGCCAUGCCGCGUGUGUGAAGAAGGCCUUUUGGUUGUAAAGCACUUUAAGCAGUGAAGAAGACUCUUCGGUUAAUACCCGGAGACGAUGACAUUAGCUGCAGAAUAAGCACCGGCUAACUCUGUGCCAGCAGCCGCGGUAAUACAGAGGGUGCAAGCGUUAAUCGGAAUUACUGGGCGUAAAGGGAGCGUAGGUGGCUCGAUAAGUCAGAUGUGAAAUCCCCGGGCUCAACCUGGGAACUGCAUCUGAUACUGUUGAGCUAGA
Molecule: ribosomal RNA, 551 nt
Filed under: Psychrobacter cryohalolentis
Lineage: Bacteria; Pseudomonadati; Pseudomonadota; Gammaproteobacteria; Moraxellales; Moraxellaceae
Description: bacterial SSU rRNA
Rfam family: Bacterial small subunit ribosomal RNA
Source: RNAcentral